RNAcentral lists this ribosomal RNA (381 nucleotides) under uncultured eukaryote. RNAcentral describes it as "partial 18S ribosomal RNA". It matches the Rfam family "Eukaryotic small subunit ribosomal RNA", at positions 592 to 975 of the family's 1831-position model. The record is from RNAcentral.
CAAUAGCGUAUAUUAAAGUUGUUGCAGUUAAAAAGCUCGUAGUUGGAUUUCUGGAUGGAGCGACCGGUCGGGCAUUAAUUUGUCUGCACUGGAGUCGGUUCCGUCCAUCCUCUUGGAAAGUGCGUGGGGCAUUAAGUUGUCUGGCGUAUGAUCCAAGUCGUUUACUGUGAAAAAAUUAGAGUGUUUAAAGCAGGCCUUCGCCUUGAAUACAUUAGCAUGGAAUAAUAAGAUAGGACUUUGGUCUAUUUUGUUGGUUUGCAGACCGAAGUAAUGAUUAAUAGGGAUAGUUGGGGGUAUUUAUAUUCCGAUGUCAGAGGUGAAAUUCUUAGAUUUUCGGAAGAUAAACUUAUGCGAAAGCAUUUACCAAGGAUGUUUUCAUUG